This is a non-coding RNA of Tephrocybe rancida, 102 nucleotides long. Lineage: Eukaryota; Fungi; Basidiomycota; Agaricomycetes; Agaricales; Lyophyllaceae. The record is from the annotation of a GenBank genome assembly.
GGCAACUUGGCCGAGUGGUCUAAGGCGCUGGAAUUAGGAUGUUCCCAGCGAACUGAAUGUAUCCAGUCCGAAAGGGCACGAGUUCGAACCUCGUAGUUGUCA